RNAcentral lists this ribosomal RNA (497 nucleotides) under uncultured bacterium. RNAcentral's name for it is "partial 16S ribosomal RNA". It matches the Rfam family "Bacterial small subunit ribosomal RNA", at positions 28 to 507 of the family's 1533-position model. The record is from RNAcentral.
GAUGAACGCUGGCGGCGUGCCUAAUACAUGCAAGUCGAGCGAACAGACGAGGAGCUUGCUCCCCUGACGUUAGCGGCGGACGGGUGAGUAACACGUGGAUAACCUACCUCUAAGACUGGGAUAACUUCGGGAAACCGGAGCUAAUACCGGAUAAUAUAUUGAACCGCAUGGAUCAAUAGUGAAAGACGGUUUUGCUGUCACUUAUAGAUGGAUCCGCGUCGCAUUAGCUAGUUGGUAAGGUAACGGCUUACCAAGGCAACGAUGCGUAGCCGACCUGAGAGGGUGAUCAGCCACACUGGAACUGAGACACGGUCCAGACUCCUACGGGAGGCAGCAGUAGGGAAUCUUCCGCAAUGGGCGAAAGCCUGACGGAGCAACGCCGCGUGAGUGAUGAAGGUCUUCGGAUCGUAAAACUCUGUUAUUAGGGAAGAACAAAUGUGUAAGUAACUAUGCACGUCUUGACGGUACCUAAUCAGAAAGCCACGGCUAACUACGUG